CAGAAAAAUUGAGCAAGCAAAAUAAUGUGAGAACAACCUAAAAGGUCAUCAGAGAAAACCUUCCUUCGUUGCAAACAUAGAACAGAGCUAAAGGAAGUGGCCCUAAGUUGAUCAAGAGCUUGAAGACGAAACCCUUGACCAAGAGGCUGGUGCUGUAGCAUGGGCAGACAGUGGGCUGCUAACCUCAGGAGGACUAAAUAUGGGAAGUGCCAUCUGUCGUAGAAGGUGUAGGGAGUUCUCCUGAUUGGGCUGGCCAAAGAUUCCUUGAAGUUCCGAUGCUGUGAUGGCUUGAUGAAGGUGUAAAUCCAGUCAAUCAAUUCCUGAAUGAACUAUCCUGGAACUUGAAGUGUCUGUGUUCUUGGCCAGGACUGGCUUCAAGAGAGCUGGUGACCAUCUGUGUGAUUGGAAGGUUGCCAGCAUAUGGCCUCUAUUGCUGUGUCAUGCUGCGUGAAAUCCUGCCAGGUGACAGUCUUCUUUUUUUGGUGAUCAAGAGUUCAAUAGGAUGUGAGUGAUGCAUUUAUGGUUCUCUUUUUACUAUUCAUUUUUUAAAUUCAG
Long non-coding RNA from Heterocephalus glaber (naked mole-rat), 555 nucleotides. NCBI's taxonomy places the organism in Eukaryota, Metazoa, Chordata, Mammalia, Rodentia, Bathyergidae. The record is from Ensembl.